UAAGCGGAGGAAAAGAAACUAACAAUGAUUCCCUUAGUAACGGCGAGUGAAGGGGGAAAAGCUCAAAUUUUAAAUCGGCAUAGGUUUACCUAGUCGAGUUGUAAUUUGAAGAAGCGUUUACCGCAUCCAGGUCGGCCCAAAUCCUUUGGGAUAAGGUAUCAUGGAGGGUGAGAAUCCCGUCCGGUUGACCUCAGGAUGUUUUACGUUACGCUCUCUAAGAGUCGAGUUGUUUGGGAUUGCAGCUCAAAAUGGGAGGUAAAUUUCUCCUAAGGCUAAAUACAGGCGAGAGACCGAUAGCGAACAAGUACCGUGAGGGAAAGAUGAAAAGAACUUUGAAAAGAGAGUUAAACAGUACGUGAAAUUGUUGAAAGGGAAACGAUUGAAGUCAGUCGUGUCUGUUGGUUUCAGCCUUUACCGGUGUAUUACCAGCAGACGGGUCAACAUCAGUUUUGGACGGUGGAAAAAGACAGGGAGAACGUGGCACCCUCGGGUGUGUUAUAGCUCUCUGUUGCAUACACUGUCUGAGACUGAGGAAUGCAGCUUGCCUUUAUGGCCGGGGUUCGCCCACGUACAAGCUUAGGAUGUUGACAUAAUGGCUUUAAACGACCCGUCUUGAAACACGGACCAAGGAGUCUAACAUAUAUGCGAGUGUU
This 653-nucleotide ribosomal RNA is filed under the name uncultured Glomerales. RNAcentral describes it as "LSU rRNA". It matches the Rfam family "Eukaryotic large subunit ribosomal RNA", at positions 47 to 694 of the family's 3401-position model. The record is from RNAcentral. Lineage: Eukaryota; Fungi; Glomeromycota; Glomeromycetes; Glomerales; Glomeraceae.